This 253-nucleotide ribosomal RNA is filed under the name uncultured bacterium. RNAcentral's name for it is "partial 16S ribosomal RNA". It matches the Rfam family "Bacterial small subunit ribosomal RNA", at positions 524 to 776 of the family's 1533-position model. The record is from RNAcentral.
UACGUAGGGUGCAAGCGUUGUCCGGAAUUAUUGGGCGUAAAGAGCUCGUAGGUGGCCUGUCGCGUCGGCUGUGAAAACUCGGGGCUCAACUCCGAGCUUGCAGUCGAUACGGGCAGGCUAGAGUUCGGCAGGGGAGACUGGAAUUCCUGGUGUAGCGGUGAAAUGCGCAGAUAUCAGGAGGAACACCGGUGGCGAAGGCGGGUCUCUGGGCAUUAACUGACGCUGAGGAGCGAAAGCAUGGGGAGCGAACAGG